GCUCCUAAAGCAACUACUGUGUGUUUAAUGGCUUCACUGAGGUUUUUAGGCCCAGGAACAGCGCUGAACUUCAGUGCGACAUGCCAGAUGUGCAGUUCCCUGCCUGUGUUCUGUGGUAUAAGGAGAAGAUCAGCCAUUUUCCUCUACGCCUUUUAGCUUGAAAUCCUUACGCAACUUAUCAGGAUAAUAAUCAGGCUGAGCCAUGUGUUUAUGCGAAUUAAAGAGAGAACAACACCAGCAACACUUCAACUCUGGCUGCCCAGUGUCGACCAGAGGGGGAUGGGCGGCCCUCCUAGGCAGCUCACACAUGGUGAGAUGGCAGUUCCAGUCACAUCUCCAUUUGGCUUGUGAAAACUUUAUUCUCACCUUCUGUUGGCUGGGAUCAGCAGAGUGACGCUUUACUGAGACCUGACCUGGAUCUUACUGACAAACAAGGCCCAGGUUCCAACCGUGGAGAGACGUGCCAUGUCUCAUCUGUCCUGCCAGUGUUGGAAUACACCAAUGUGAAGACACGGUCUCUGGAGACGGUGCUGCUCAUCCCAUGCAUCGCUUCCCCAGAUCCUCAAAUUUAGGAUACUUUGUUUUUUUGUGGAUUUGUUUAAGAUCAUGGAAAAUAAAGAGCUCUUUAGUGCAA
Electrophorus electricus (electric eel) is the source of this 634-nucleotide non-coding RNA. Lineage: Eukaryota; Metazoa; Chordata; Actinopteri; Gymnotiformes; Gymnotidae. The record is from RefSeq and is a predicted model, not a curated record.